UGUGGGGGCGGGGCCUAAUUCUGCAAGUUCGAGCGAAUCAUUUCGGUGGUUAGCGGCGGACGGGUGAGUAACACGUGGGCAACCUGCCUGUAAGACUGGGAUAACACCGGGAAACCGGUGCUAAUACCGGAUAAUCCUUUUCCUCUCAUGAGGAAAAGCUGAAAGACGGUUUCGGCUGUCACUUACAGAUGGGCCCGCGGCGCAUUAGCUAGUUGGUGAGGUAACGGCUCACCAAGGCGACGAUGCGUAGCCGACCUGAGAGGGUGAUCGGCCACACUGGGACUGAGACACGGCCCAGACUCCUACGGGAGGCAGCAGUAGGGAAUCUUCCACAAUGGACGAAAGUCUGAUGGAGCAACGCCGCGUGAGCGAUGAAGGCCUUCGGGUCGUAAAGCUCUGUUGUUAGGGAAGAACAAGUACUGGAGUAACUGCCGGUACCUUGACGGUACCUAACCAGAAAGCCACGGCUAACUACGUGCCAGCAGCCGCGGUAAUACGUAGGUGGCAAGCGUUGUCCGGAAUUAUUGGGCGUAAAGCGCGCGCAGGCGGUCCUUUAAGUCUGAUGUGAAAGCCCACGGCUCAACCGUGGAGGGUCAUUGGAAACUGGGGGACUUGAGUGCAGAAGAGGAAAGCGGAAUUCCACGUGUAGCGGUGAAAUGCGUAGAGAUGUGGAGGAACACCAGUGGCGAAGGCGGCUUUCUGGUCUGUAACUGACGCUGAGGCGCGAAAGCGUGGGGAGCAAACAGGAUUAGAUACCCUGGUAGUCCACGCCGUAACGAUGAGUGCUAAGUGUAGGGGGUUUCCGCCCCCUUAGUGCUGCAGCUAACGCAUUAAGC
Molecule: ribosomal RNA, 836 nt
Filed under: uncultured bacterium
Lineage: Bacteria
Description: bacterial SSU rRNA
Rfam family: Bacterial small subunit ribosomal RNA
Source: RNAcentral